GACGAACCGUGCGAACGUUGUUCGGAAUCACUGGGCUUAAAGGGCGCGUAGGCGGCUUGUCAAGUCGGGGGUGAAAUCCGGCAGCUUAACUGUCGAAGUGCCUUCGAUACUGGCAAGCUCGAGGGAGGUAGGGGUCUGUGGAACUUCUGGUGGAGCGGUGAAAUGCGUUGAUAUCAGAAGGAACGCCGGUGGCGAAAGCGACGGACUGGAUCUCUUCUGACGCUGAGGCGCGAAAGCUAGGGUAGCGAACGGG
This 253-nucleotide ribosomal RNA is filed under the name uncultured bacterium. RNAcentral describes it as "partial 16S ribosomal RNA". It matches the Rfam family "Bacterial small subunit ribosomal RNA", at positions 524 to 776 of the family's 1533-position model. The record is from RNAcentral.